GCCGUGGCUUAGUGGCAGAGCAUCUGCUUGGCACGCAGAAAGCCACAGGUUCAACCCCCAGCAUCUCCA
This 69-nucleotide transfer RNA is filed under the name Sphaerodactylus townsendi. RNAcentral describes it as "tRNA-Ala". It matches the Rfam family "tRNA". Rfam says of the family: Transfer RNA (tRNA) molecules are approximately 80 nucleotides in length. Their secondary structure includes four short double-helical elements and three loops (D, anti-codon, and T loops). The record is from RNAcentral. Lineage: Eukaryota; Metazoa; Chordata; Lepidosauria; Squamata; Sphaerodactylidae.